RNAcentral lists this ribosomal RNA (503 nucleotides) under uncultured bacterium. RNAcentral describes it as "partial 16S ribosomal RNA". It matches the Rfam family "Bacterial small subunit ribosomal RNA", at positions 30 to 523 of the family's 1533-position model. The record is from RNAcentral.
AUUGAACGCUGGCGGCAGGCUUAACACAUGCAAGUCGAGCGGGGUGAUGGUGCUUGCACUAUCACUUAGCGGCGGACGGGUGAGUAAUGCUUAGGAAUCUGCCUAUUAGUGGGGGACAACAUCUCGAAAGGGAUGCUAAUACCGCAUACGUCCUACGGGAGAAAGCAGGGGACCACUUGUGACCUUGCGCUAAUAGAUGAGCCUAAGUCGGAUUAGCUAGUUGGUGGGGUAAAGGCCUACCAAGGCGACGAUCUGUAGCGGGUCUGAGAGGAUGAUCCGCCAAACCGGGACGGAGACACGGCCCAGACUCCUACGGGAGGCAGCAGUGGGGAAUAUUGGACAAUGGGGGGAACCCUGAUCCAGCCAUGCCGCGUGUGUGAAGAAGGCCUUAUGGUUGUAAAGCACUUUAAGCGAGGAGGAGGCUCUUUUGGUUAAUACCCAAGAUGAGUGGACGUUACUCGCAGAAUAAGCACCGGCUAACUCUGUGCCAGCCGCCGCAGUAA